CAUUUUUUCACUUAUGCUCAAGGUAAAGCACAGGGGAUUUGCUUGGGACCAGCCAGUCGAUAGGUGGAACUGGACUAAAGUUGUGGUCAGAAGAAAUAAUCUGGGUGGGUUUGCUGUAUUUUUCACCAUGCUGAAAACUUGUUGAAGAUGGUAUUUUCCCCACUGGUUCUGACCUAUUGGAAAAGGCAAGAUUUAAGAGAUGGUUCAAAGAUUUUCCUGCCCCAUCCCACCUGUGUGAACUAAGGAAGGAUUGGCUGGAAUUGCUGCCAAGGAUGUGUGGAACAGCCAGAAUUCAUCUCACCUGGGUUUGACUGAGGAGUCCAACCCACCCACCCCAGGUAGCACAGGGAUUUACACUACUGUGAUGUCACUGCUACAACAACCUCACCAGCAGAAACAUCAAAAUCAAGGGGAACACAUUCUUAGCACGCUUUGGACAAUGCUCUUGGGCACAUGGCUUGAUUCUUGGGACCGUCUUGUGCUGGGCCAGGAGUUGGACUUUGGUGAACUGAGUGGGUCCCUUCCAACUCAAGGCUGGAGACAAAGUGUUAAGUUACUGGACUUCCAUGCUCUGGAAAGCUGCCUUGCAUCUCUAUUUUAAAGCAUGAUUCCUGUUUCCAAGUAAGCAAGAAAGAGAGAAAGAGGUGACCUUUGCAGCUGCCAUUUUGAAAAAAACCUCUUCAAAGGUUGUUAGGAGAGAAGCCAGAAACCUGGGACGGCAAAACAGAAGAAAAUGAAAACCCUUUGUGCUGCAGGGAGAGAUGUUUUGCCAAAAGAUGGUGGCAACACAUCCUCUACGGGAUUUGUGUGGCUCUCUGGGCACAAGGAGCAGCAGGAGGUCAUGCUGAGAUUGCUUGUGAUGACUCACUGCAGACAAGAAGAAUGAUUCCAAGGCAACAGAUUCCAGCAUUUUAAUCUUCCCACCAGUCUCCCAGAGACUCUUGUUGCCUUCAGCACUGCGUGGAAACACAGGUUUCUCUGGGAUUCUGAUUUCCUUUUCCAAAACAGGCCCUCCCAGCAACGCAGCAGUGAGAUGUUAAGAAUUUAGAGAAGAAGAUGUAAAUUGCUUGGAAGAGAUCUGCAAGAGACAUGAAAUGACUGCAGC
This is a long non-coding RNA of Motacilla alba alba, 1105 nucleotides long. RefSeq lists it as uncharacterized. NCBI's taxonomy places the organism in Eukaryota, Metazoa, Chordata, Aves, Passeriformes, Motacillidae. The transcript is spliced from 4 exons. The record is from RefSeq and is a predicted model, not a curated record.